AGAGUUUGAUCCUGGCUCAGGACGAACGCUGGCGGCGUGGAUUAGGCAUGCAAGUCGAACGAGAAAGUUUUCCUUCGGGAGAGCGAGUACAGUGGCGGACUGGUGAGUAACGCGUAGGUAAUCUACCUUCAAGUGGGGGAUAGCCCUCGGAAACGAGGAUUAAUACCGCAUGUGUUCCUUCGGGAAUAAAGGUGGCCUCUGAUUAAGCUGUCGCUUGAAGAUGAGCCUGCGUCCUAUUAGCUAGUUGGUGUGGUAAUGGCGCACCAAGGCGAUGAUUGGUAGGCGUCCUUAACGGGUGGUCGCCCACACUGGGAUUGAGAUACUGCCCAGACUCCUACGGGAGGCAGCAGUCGAGAAUAGUCUACAAUGGACGAAAGUCUGAUAGUGCAACGCCGCGUGGGUGAUGAAGCAUUUCGGUGUGUAAAACCCUUUUCUUUGUGAGCAAUGCCAUUAUGGUGAAUAGCUAUAGUGGAGAGAUAUUAGCAGAGGAAUAAGCCACGGCUAACU
Molecule: ribosomal RNA, 507 nt
Filed under: uncultured bacterium
Lineage: Bacteria
Description: bacterial SSU rRNA
Rfam family: Bacterial small subunit ribosomal RNA
Source: RNAcentral